This 489-nucleotide ribosomal RNA is filed under the name uncultured bacterium. Its description in RNAcentral is "partial 16S ribosomal RNA". It matches the Rfam family "Bacterial small subunit ribosomal RNA", at positions 31 to 507 of the family's 1533-position model. The record is from RNAcentral.
GAACGCUGGCGGUAGGCCUAACACAUGCAAGUCGAACGGCAGCACAGUAAGAGCUUGCUCUUACGGGUGGCGAGUGGCGGACGGGUGAGGAAUACAUCGGAAUCUACUUUUUCGUGGGGGAUAACGUAGGGAAACUUACGCUAAUACCGCAUACGACCUACGGGUGAAAGCAGGGGAUCUUCGGACCUUGCGCGAUUGAAUGAGCCGAUGUCGGAUUAGCUAGUUGGCGGGGUAAAGGCCCACCAAGGCGACGAUCCGUAGCUGGUCUGAGAGGAUGAUCAGCCACACUGGAACUGAGACACGGUCCAGACUCCUACGGGAGGCAGCAGUGGGGAAUAUUGGACAAUGGGCGCAAGCCUGAUCCAGCCAUACCGCGUGGGUGAAGAAGGCCUUCGGGUUGUAAAGCCCUUUUGUUGGGAAAGAAAAGCGGCAGGUUAAUACCCCGCUGUUCUGACGGUACCCAAAGAAUAAGCACCGGCUAACUUCGUG